Molecule: ribosomal RNA, 378 nt
Filed under: uncultured eukaryote
Lineage: Eukaryota
Description: partial 18S ribosomal RNA
Rfam family: Eukaryotic small subunit ribosomal RNA
Source: RNAcentral
CAAUAGCAUAUAUUAAAGUUGUUGCGGUUAAAAAGCUCGUAGUUGGAUCUCUGGUCUUGUCGGCCGGUCGCCCGCUGGGUUGUACUGGUCGGGCAGACCCGAAUUGCUAGUCGUGCUGUGCGUGCUCUUCAGUGGGUGCGUACAGUGGCUAGCGCGUUUACUUUGAAAAAAUUAGAGUGCUCAAAGCAGGCCCGCCGCCUGAAUAGUGGUGCAUGGAAUAAUGGAAUAGGACGUCAGUUCUAUUUGUUGGUUCGGAAUUUGACGUAAUGAUUAAGAGGGACAGACGGGGGCAUUCGUAUUGCUACGUUAGAGGUGAAAUUCUUGGAUCGUAGCACGACGAACAACUGCGAAANCANNNGCCAAGAAUGUUUUCAUNAA